This 479-nucleotide ribosomal RNA is filed under the name uncultured bacterium. Its description in RNAcentral is "partial 16S ribosomal RNA". It matches the Rfam family "Bacterial small subunit ribosomal RNA", at positions 28 to 507 of the family's 1533-position model. The record is from RNAcentral.
GAUGAACGCUAGCGGGAGGCCUAACACAUGCAAGCCGAGCGGUAUUUGUUCUUCGGAACAGAGAGAGCGGCGCACGGGUGCGGAACACGUGUGCAACCUGCCUUUAUCUGGGGGAUAGCCUUUCGAAAGGAAGAUUAAUACCCCAUAAUAUAUUGAGUGGCAUCACUUGAUAUUGAAAACUCCGGUGGAUAGAGAUGGGCACGCGCAAGAUUAGAUAGUUGGUGAGGUAACGGCUCACCAAGUCAAUGAUCUUUAGGGGGCCUGAGAGGGUGAUCCCCCACACUGGUACUGAGACACGGACCAGACUCCUACGGGAGGCAGCAGUGAGGAAUAUUGGACAAUGGGUUAGCGCCUGAUCCAGCCAUCCCGCGUGAAGGACGACGGCCCUAUGGGUGGUAAACUUCUUUUGGAUAGGGAUAAACCUACUCUCGUGAGAGUAGCUGAAGGUACUAUACGAAUAAGCACCGGCUAACUCCGUG